RNAcentral lists this transfer RNA (82 nucleotides) under Wuchereria bancrofti. It matches the Rfam family "tRNA". From Rfam's summary of the family: Transfer RNA (tRNA) molecules are approximately 80 nucleotides in length. Their secondary structure includes four short double-helical elements and three loops (D, anti-codon, and T loops). Further hydrogen bonds mediate the characteristic L-shaped molecular structure. tRNAs have two regions of fundamental functional importance: the anti-codon, which is responsible for specific mRNA codon recognition, and the 3' end, to which the tRNAs corresponding amino acid is attached (by aminoacyl-tRNA synthetases). tRNAs cope with the degeneracy of the genetic code in two manners: having more than one tRNA (with a specific anti-codon) for a particular amino acid; and 'wobble' base-pairing, i.e. permitting non-standard base-pairing at the 3rd anti-codon position. The record is from Rfam by way of RNAcentral. Lineage: Eukaryota; Metazoa; Nematoda; Chromadorea; Rhabditida; Onchocercidae.
GCAACGGUGUCCGAGUGGUUAAGGAGCUUGAUUAGAAAUCAAAUGGGUUCCGCCUCCAUAGGUUCGAAUCCUGCCCACUGUG